RNAcentral lists this ribosomal RNA (456 nucleotides) under uncultured bacterium. RNAcentral's name for it is "bacterial SSU rRNA". It matches the Rfam family "Bacterial small subunit ribosomal RNA", at positions 29 to 506 of the family's 1533-position model. The record is from RNAcentral.
AUGAACGCUGGCGGCGUGGAUAAGGCAUGCAAGUCGAACGGGCCGCCUCCGCAAGGAGGCGAGCUAGUGGCGAACGAGUUAGUAAUACCUUGGAACGUACCCGAAAGACGGGGAUAACCCACCGAAAGGUGGACUAAUACCCGAUGGUCCCUGAGAGCAAUCGAAGGGUAAAGACGUAAGUCACUUUUGGAGCGGCCUAGGUCCUAUCAGCUUGUUGGCGGGGUAAUGGCCCACCAAGGCAAUGACGGGUAGGGGGCGUGAGAGCGUGGCCCCCAACGAGGGAACUGAGAAACGGUCCUUACAUCUACGGAUGGCCGCAGUCGAGAAUAUUCGACAAUGGGCGAAAGCCUGAUCGAGCGACGCCGCGUGCAGGAAGAAGUGGCUUUGCCACGUAAACUGCUUUUGUCAGGGAAAAAUUUUGAUUGUACCUGAAGAAUAAGGGGUUGCUAACCUCGU